UGCGCUACCUGGUUGAUCCUGCCAGUAGUCAUAUGCUUGUCUCAAAGAUUAAGCCAUGCAUGUGGAAGCAUAAGCUUCUCUAUCCGCAAAGCUGCGAAUGGCUCAUUAAAUCUGCGCUGAUCUGUCCAAGAGUCAACAGAGAUGGAUAAUUGUGCUAAUUGUGCAACAAAUACGUGCUGAAUCUCGAUAUUCUUCGAGGCGCUUAUUAGAACCAGAACCAUUCCGCGUCAGCGGUAACUCUUAGGAUGUGAACAAUAAGGAGGUAUACCGUGGUUUAACCACAGGUAUUUUGGGUGAAGCGCAGCCCUAUCAGUUGUGGACGGUAAGGUAUUGGCUUACCGUGGCAGUUACGGGUGACGGGGAAUUUGGGUUCGAUUCCGGAGAGGGAGCCUGAAAAACGGCUACCACGUCUAAGGAUGGCAGCAGGCGCGCAAAUUACCCAAUCUUAAUGGAUGGAGGUAGUGACGAGUAAUAACAGCGUGUGGCUAAGCUGCACGACUGGAAUGAAUCGGGCUUAAUAACCCCGUUGAGUAUCAAUUGGAGGGCAAGUCUGGUGCUAGCAGCCGCGGUAAUUCCAGCUCCAAUAGCAUAUAUUAAAGUUGUUGCAGUUAAAACGCUCGUAGUCGAAGAUGGCUUCCUCAGUUGAUUGUGCAGCUUGCUGCCGUUGAUUCUGAUCCAGCUUUGCGUCGCACUAGCGUCCCUCGACGUUGGUGUAAUAUCACUUUGAAUAUUUCAAAGUGUUCAAGGCAAUUUGUUUGAUUGCUCAAGCAUGGAAUACAGAAUUGGCCUCCGCUGGUUCUAUGGUUCUACAAGCAUGUGCAAUGAUUGAGAUGAACGGUUGGGGGGAUACGCAUUUGGCUGUUAGAGGUGAAAUUCUUGGAUCAGUCAAGGGCGAACUGAUGCGAAAGCGUUUCCCAAGAACGUUUUUAUUGAUUAAGAACGAAGGUUAAGGGAUCGAAGACGAUCAGAUACCGUCGUAGUUUUAACGGUAAACUAUGCCGUCCAAAGACCAAGUUUUCGCGUAGAGAUCACUUGGGAUUUCGAGAGAAAUCAGAGAUUUUGGGUUCUGGGGGAAGUAUGUGCGCAAGCUGGAAACUUAAAGGAAUUGACGGAAGGGCACCACAAGGAGUGGAACAUGCGGCUUAAUUUGACUCAACACGGGGAAACUUACCAGGGCAAGACAUAGGAAGGAUUGACAGGAUGAUAGUUCUUUCUUGAUUCUUUGGGUGGUGGUGCAUGGCCGAUUCUAGUUGGUGGAGUGAUUUGUCUGGUUGAUUCCGUUAACGAACGAGACCUUUUCUCCCAAAUUGUUUUGGCUUAUGUUCUUAGGUCAUAGAAAGUUGGAGCACAACAUGUAGAAAACAUGGGGAAGAUGAAGGCGAAAUCAGGUCUGUGAUGCCCCUAGAUGUUCUGGGCCGCACGCGUGUUACAAUGGUGAUUUCAGAUAGCAUCAUACUCCUUAUAAAAACGGAAGGUGUCUGUAAAUGGAACGCCAAACUUGGGAUUGGCUAUUGGAAUUUUUGGCCGUGAACGAGGAAUUCCUUGUGAUUGCAGAUCAUCAGUCUCCGAUGAAUACGUCCCUGCCCUUUGUACACACCGCCCGUCGCUCCUACCGAUUGGGUGAUCCGGUUAAUUCCACAGAGGAGUCGUCGAACCUUUAUUGGAACUGCGAUUCCGAAGUGGUGUGAACCUUAUCAUUUAGAGGAAGGAGAAGUCGUAACAAGGUUUCCGUAGGUGAACCUGCAGAAGGAUCA
Molecule: ribosomal RNA, 1754 nt
Filed under: [Lecudina] polymorpha morphotype 2
Lineage: Eukaryota; Apicomplexa; Conoidasida; Eugregarinorida; Lecudinidae
Description: SSU rRNA
Rfam family: Eukaryotic small subunit ribosomal RNA
Source: RNAcentral